RNAcentral lists this long non-coding RNA (204 nucleotides) under Capsicum annuum. RNAcentral's name for it is "long non-coding RNA (CANN_LNC001345)". Lineage: Eukaryota; Viridiplantae; Streptophyta; Magnoliopsida; Solanales; Solanaceae. The record is from RNAcentral.
UCAUCCUUAUUUUGGAGCACAGCUUGUACCUUGUGAAGAUUAAUAUAGACUCUCAAGAGGUCAUCAACUAGUUAGCAAAAGGUAACUUGUUCUAUAAUUUUAUUAUUGAUGAAUGCAGGUCUUUGAUAAGAAGGUUGGACAGACCUCCCAUUCACCAUAGCUACAGGGAGCAAAACAAAGUUGUUGAUGCCAUGACUAAAGCAG